Molecule: ribosomal RNA, 823 nt
Filed under: uncultured organism
Description: bacterial SSU rRNA
Rfam family: Bacterial small subunit ribosomal RNA
Source: RNAcentral
GCUCAGAAUGAACGCUGGCGGCGUGCCUAAUACAUGCAAGUCGAACGAGAAAUCGCACCUUCGGGAGUGAGAGUAAAGUGGCGCACGGGUGAGUAACGCGUGGGUAACCUACCCUUUGGUUCGGAAUAACUGCCUGAAAGGGCAGCUAAUACCGAACAAGACCACGACGGCUUCGGCGGUUGGGGUAAAAGAUGGCCUCUACUUGUAAGCUAUCGCCAGAGGAUGGGCCCGCGUGCUAUUAGCUAGUUGGUGAGGUAACGGCUCACCAAUGCAGCGAUAGCUAGCUGGUCUGAGAGGAUGAUCAGCCACACUGGAACUGAAACACGGUCCAGACUCCUACGGGAGGCAGCAGUAAGGAAUUUUGCGCAAUGGGGGAAACCCUGACGCAGCAACGCCGCGUGAGUGAAGAAGGCCCUCGGGUCGUAAAGCUCUGUCAAGUGGGAAGAACCCUUUCAUGGAUAAUAACCAUGAGAGCUGACGGUACCACUGGAGGAAGCACCGGCUAACUCCGUGCCAGCAGCCGCGGUAAUACGGAGGGUGCCAGCGUUAUUCGGAAUCAUUGGGUGUAAAGCGCGUGUAGGCGGCUAAGCAAGUCAGAUGUGAAAGCUUCGGGCUUAACCCGGAAAGUGCAUUUGAAACUGUUUGGCUUGAGUCCUGGAGAGGGAAGUGGAAUUCCCAGUGUAGAGGUGAAAUUCGUAGAUAUUGGGAGGAACACCGGUGGCGAAGGCGACUUCCUGGACGGUGACUGACGCUGAGACGCGAAAGCGUGGGGAGCAAACAGGAUUAGAUACCCUGGUAGUCCACGCCGUAAACGAUGGGCACU